AUUGAACGCUGGCGGCAGGCCUAACACAUGCAAGUCGAACGGUAGCACAGAGAGCUUGCUCUCGGGUGACGAGUGGCGGACGGGUGAGUAACGUCUGGGAAACUGCCCGAUGGAGGGGGAUAACUACUGGAAACGGUAGCUAAUACCGCAUAACGUCGCAAGACCAAAGUGGGGGACCUUCGGGCCUCACACCAUCGGAUGUGCCCAGAUGGGAUUAGCUAGUAGGUGGGGUAAUGGCUCACCUAGGCGACGAGCCCUAGCUGGUCUGAGAGGAGACACAGCAACAGGGGAGCGGAGCUAAGGUGCAGCUUCCUACGGGAGGAAGAAGGGGGGAAUAUUGUACAAUGGGUGCAUGCCUGAUUCAGCCAUGCCGCGUGUAUGAAGAAGGCCUUCGGGUUGUAAAGUACUUUCAGCGGGGAGGAAGGCGGUGAAGUUAAUAGCUUCACCGAUUGACGUUACCCGCAGAAGAAGCACCGGCUAACUCCGUGCCAGCAGCCGCAGUAA
RNAcentral lists this ribosomal RNA (504 nucleotides) under uncultured bacterium. RNAcentral's name for it is "partial 16S ribosomal RNA". It matches the Rfam family "Bacterial small subunit ribosomal RNA", at positions 29 to 523 of the family's 1533-position model. The record is from RNAcentral.